This 497-nucleotide ribosomal RNA is filed under the name uncultured bacterium. RNAcentral describes it as "partial 16S ribosomal RNA". It matches the Rfam family "Bacterial small subunit ribosomal RNA", at positions 28 to 507 of the family's 1533-position model. The record is from RNAcentral.
GACGAACGCUGGCGGCGUGCCUAAUACAUGCAAGUUGAGCGCUGAAGGUUGGUACUUGUACCAACUGGAUGAGCAGCGAACGGGUGAGUAACGCGUGGGGAAUCUGCCUUUGAGCGGGGGACAACAUUUGGAAACGAAUGCUAAUACCGCAUAAAAACUUUAAACACAAGUUUUAAGUUUGAAAGAUGCAAUUGCAUCACUCAAAGAUGAUCCCGCGCUGUAUUAGCUAGUUGGUGAGGUAAAGGCUCACCAAGGCGAUGAUACAUAGCCGACCUGAGAGGGUGAUCGGCCACAGUGGGACGGAGACACGGCCCAAACUCCUACGGGAGGCAGCAGUAGGGAAUCUUCGGCAAUGGACGAAAGUCUGACCGAGCAACGCCGCGUGAGUGAAGAAGGUUUUCGGAUCGUAAAACUCUGUUGGUAGAGAAGAACGUUGGUGAGAGUGGAAAGCUCAUCAAGUGACGGUAACUACCCAGAAAGGGACGGCUAACUACGUG